CAUGGAUGUGUCAAGAAGGAGAGGGUUUGGAGCUUGUUUCCAGGGAUCCUACUGUGUAGAAGGCUGGCAAGGGCUGUGGAAAAAGGAAGGUUCCCAGCAUGUGAGGCUGGAUCAGACUUUCAGUCAAACUCAUAAUUUUGGGAAAAGCACUAUUCAAAGACAUGUGGGGAUUGUUCAGUGGUGAGCAGAAGCGUGGCAUGGCAGUUUGAAGACAGUGAAGAAAAUAUUUUUUAUAGCUGAAUGUUAAGUUAGCUGAAACCAGAGAGCAUAAAAUUGCCAAAACCACACUGGAACUAACUCACCUAUUCUUCCUAAAAGCGCCAUGGGGUUCUCAUUUCACAAUUGGUCCAUGGGACAUUACAGUUUAUUGUUUGUUUCAUUUCAAAAGGCUGUGAAAUAUUGAGAUUGAAAGUAACUUUAAUUUUGUUUCCAAAAGAAAGAACAAAGUUUAACUGAUAUUUUCUAGAGCAUGAGUCCAAUAAAACAGCUGGAGUUGCAAUGAAAAGGACUUCUAUCUCCAUUAUAAAAAUGAAUUUUCUGUGUUGUUUGGGAGAGAUGCUUGGUUCCUUCAUCGAUCAUAAUGCAACAGUUUGACUGCACUUAUCUAUCUCAUCCAAUUCUUUUUCUUCUGACUGCAGUCCUUGCAAAUGAGUUUUUCAAUAAAAAAUCAAAACAAUGUCUGACUUAAUGAGCAUUAUAAAGAAAAGCUGUCAGUUCAUCCAAUCCUUAUUAUUUCAUCAUGAAAAGUCUGAUUUUGAGGCAUUAUCCAUUGCUUUUUAUUCUCAAGCCCAGGAGGGAGCAAAUCAAUUGCAAAUGCAAAAUUUGUCAAAGACCUUGGGCCCAACGCUUGCAGAAGAAGUACAGCCUGUACUAAAUGGCUGUGCUCCACAAAAAUUACAAUGGGGUAGUGGGAAGGAGUCCUCAAUCCUGGCCAGAAAAACUGCUUAUGCAGCUGGGUCACAGAUGCUGAUUUAGAGGAAGGGGUACAGAAGUGACUGCAGGCAUUUUCUUUCAAAAGAUUUAAUCUGCUAUAUCUGUACAGCAUUUCAAUAUUAUAUAUGUUAAUGAACUAAAAAUAUCAAUACA
Long non-coding RNA from Passer domesticus (house sparrow), 1086 nucleotides. RefSeq lists it as uncharacterized. Lineage: Eukaryota; Metazoa; Chordata; Aves; Passeriformes; Passeridae. The transcript has 3 exons. The record is from RefSeq and is a predicted model, not a curated record.